This 492-nucleotide ribosomal RNA is filed under the name uncultured bacterium. RNAcentral's name for it is "partial 16S ribosomal RNA". It matches the Rfam family "Bacterial small subunit ribosomal RNA", at positions 29 to 507 of the family's 1533-position model. The record is from RNAcentral.
AGUGAACGCUGGCGGUAGGCCUAACACAUGCAAGUCGAACGGCAGCACAGUAAGAGCUUGCUCUUACGGGUGGCGAGUGGCGGACGGGUGAGGAAUACAUCGGAAUCUACUUUUUCGUGGGGGAUAACGUAGGGAAACUUACGCUAAUACCGCAUACGACCUACGGGUGAAAGCAGGGGAUCUUCGUACCUUGCGCGAUUGAAUGAGCCGAUGUCGGAUUAGCUAGUUGGCGGGGUAAAGGCCCACCAAGGCGACGAUCCGUAGCUGGUCUGAGAGGAUGAUCAGCCACACUGGAACUGAGACACGGUCAAGACUCCUACGGGAGGCAGCAGUGGGGAAUAUUGGACAAUGGGCGCAAGCCUGAUCCAGCCAUACCGCGUGGGUGAAGAAGGCCUUCGGGUUGUAAAGCCCUUUUGUUGGGAAAGAAAAGCAGCAGGUUAAUACCCCGCUGUUCUGACGGUACCCAAAGAAUAAGCACCGGCUAACUUCGUG